AGGCGACUGAGGCGGUCGCCUAAGGCCCCGGGCUAAUGCAAGGCCCCCGGGAGACUGACCAAAAGGAAGCAAAGGCCCCGAUCUGGGGCUGGCUACGAGUCUUCUCCCUUGAUGGAAAGGAGGUGGAGAGUUUCCUGGCCUGCAGAGGGGCAAUUUGGGAUGUUGGGGACAGUAGUUUUGUUUUGGGUGGGGAGAGCGAGAGAGAGAGGAGGGAUUUGGUUGGCUUGAUAGACGCCUGAAGCCACUCUUAUCUUUCAUCGCUUCUCUUUUUUGGUUUUGGUCUUGGUUUUCCUUCCCUCACAUUACUCCUGAUCCAGCUGGGCCAUCCGGAAGAAAGAUAGGGGGAUUGGAGAUGGACUUCUUCGAGGGUGGAGAUUCUUUUAGUUUUCUCCUCUCGGUUUCUUCUCCCCUCUUGGGUGGUAGAGACAGAAAAGGAGAGAGGGGGUUUAAUGGCUGCUGUGCUGUGAUGUUGCAGUUGCCGCUUGGGUACUUACUUGAAGGGGAGAUGGUGGGAUGGG
This 518-nucleotide long non-coding RNA is filed under the name Phoenix dactylifera (date palm). RNAcentral describes it as "long non-coding RNA (PDAC_LNC004545)". Lineage: Eukaryota; Viridiplantae; Streptophyta; Magnoliopsida; Arecales; Arecaceae. The record is from RNAcentral.